Molecule: ribosomal RNA, 2077 nt
Filed under: Staphylococcus aureus
Lineage: Bacteria; Bacillati; Bacillota; Bacilli; Caryophanales; Staphylococcaceae
Description: bacterial LSU rRNA
Rfam family: Bacterial large subunit ribosomal RNA
Source: RNAcentral
UUAACACAUCGGAUUGUGGUUCCGACAUUCGAGGGUUCGAUCCCCUUCAGCCGCCCCAUAAUCGNNNNNNNNNNNGAGGGGCCCCUCUCGGGUUACCGAAUUCAGACAAACUCCGAAUGCCAAUUAAUUUAACUUGGGAGUCAGAACAUGGGUGAUAAGGUCCGUGUUCGAAAGGGAAACAGCCCAGACCACCAGCUAAGGUCCCAAAAUAUAUGUUAAGUGGAAAAGGAUGUGGCGUUGCCCAGACAACUAGGAUGUUGGCUUAGAAGCAGCCAUCAUUUAAAGAGUGCGUAAUAGCUCACUAGUCGAGUGACACUGCGCCGAAAAUGUACCGGGGCUAAACAUAUUACCGAAGCUGUGGAUUGUCCUUUGGACAAUGGUAGGAGAGCGUUCUAAGGGCGUUGAAGCAUGAUCGUAAGGACAUGUGGAGCGCUUAGAAGUGAGAAUGCCGGUGUGAGUAGCGAAAGACGGGUGAGAAUCCCGUCCACCGAUUGACUAAGGUUUCCAGAGGAAGGCUCGUCCGCUCUGGGUUAGUCGGGUCCUAAGCUGAGGCCGACAGGCGUAGGCGAUGGAUAACAGGUUGAUAUUCCUGUACCACCUAUAAUCGUUUUAAUCGAUGGGGGGACGCAGUAGGAUAGGCGAAGCGUGCGAUUGGAUUGCACGUCUAAGCAGUAAGGCUGAGUAUUAGGCAAAUCCGGUACUCAUUAAGGCUGAGCUGUGAUGGGGAGAAGACAUUGUGUCUUCGAGUCGUUGAUUUCACACUGCCGAGAAAAGCCUCUAGAUAGAAAAUAGGUGCCCGUACCGCAAACCGACACAGGUAGUCAAGAUGAGAAUUCUAAGGUGAGCGAGCGAACUCUCGUUAAGGAACUCGGCAAAAUGACCCCGUAACUUCGGGAGAAGGGGUGCUCUUUAGGGUUAACGCCCAGAAGAGCCGCAGUGAAUAGGCCCAAGCGACUGUUUAUCAAAAACACAGGUCUCUGCUAAACCGUAAGGUGAUGUAUAGGGGCUGACGCCUGCCCGGUGCUGGAAGGUUAAGAGGAGUGGUUAGCUUCUGCGAAGCUACGAAUCGAAGCCCCAGUAAACGGCGGCCGUAACUAUAACGGUCCUAAGGUAGCGAAAUUCCUUGUCGGGUAAGUUCCGACCCGCACGAAAGGCGUAACGAUUUGGGCACUGUCUCAACGAGAGACUCGGUGAAAUCAUAGUACCUGUGAAGAUGCAGGUUACCCGCGACAGGACGGAAAGACCCCGUGGAGCUUUACUGUAGCCUGAUAUUGAAAUUCGGCACAGCUUGUACAGGAUAGGUAGGAGCCUUUGAAACGUGAGCGCUAGCUUACGUGGAGGCGCUGGUGGGAUACUACCCUAGCUGUGUUGGCUUUCUAACCCGCACCACUUAUCGUGGUGGGAGACAGUGUCAGGCGGGCAGUUUGACUGGGGCGGUCGCCUCCUAAAAGGUAACGGAGGCGCUCAAAGGUUCCCUCAGAAUGGUUGGAAAUCAUUCAUAGAGUGUAAAGGCAUAAGGGAGCUUGACUGCGAGACCUACAAGUCGAGCAGGGUCGAAAGACGGACUUAGUGAUCCGGUGGUUCCGCAUGGAAGGGCCAUCGCUCAACGGAUAAAAGCUACCCCGGGGAUAACAGGCUUAUCUCCCCCAAGAGUUCACAUCGACGGGGAGGUUUGGCACCUCGAUGUCGGCUCAUCGCAUCCUGGGGCUGUAGUCGGUCCCAAGGGUUGGGCUGUUCGCCCAUUAAAGCGGUACGCGAGCUGGGUUCAGAACGUCGUGAGACAGUUCGGUCCCUAUCCGUCGUGGGCGUAGGAAAUUUGAGAGGAGCUGUCCUUAGUACGAGAGGACCGGGAUGGACAUACCUCUGGUGUACCAGUUGUCGUGCCAACGGCAUAGCUGGGUAGCUAUGUGUGGACGGGAUAAGUGCUGAAAGCAUCUAAGCAUGAAGCCCCCCUCAAGAUGAGAUUUCCCAACUUCGGUUAUAAGAUCCCUCAAAGAUGAUGAGGUUAAUAGGUUCGAGGUGGAAGCAUGGUGACAUGUGGAGCUGACGAAUACUAAUCGAUCGAAGACUUAAUCAA